This 252-nucleotide ribosomal RNA is filed under the name uncultured Blastococcus sp. RNAcentral's name for it is "partial 16S ribosomal RNA". It matches the Rfam family "Bacterial small subunit ribosomal RNA", at positions 526 to 777 of the family's 1533-position model. Lineage: Bacteria; Bacillati; Actinomycetota; Actinomycetes; Geodermatophilales; Geodermatophilaceae. The record is from RNAcentral.
CGUAGGGUGCAAGCGUUGUCCGGAAUUAUUGGGCGUAAAGAGCUCGUAGGCGGUUUGUUGCGUCGGCUGUGAAAUCCUGAGGCUCAACCUCAGGCCUGCAGUCGAUACGAGCAGACUAGAGUGUUGCAGGGGAGACUGGAAUUCCUGGUGUAGCGGUGAAAUGCGCAGAUAUCAGGAGGAACACCGGUGGCGAAGGCGGGUCUCUGGGCAACAACUGACGCUGAGGAGCGAAAGCGUGGGGAGCGAACAGGA